RNAcentral lists this non-coding RNA (23 nucleotides) under Arabidopsis thaliana (thale cress). Lineage: Eukaryota; Viridiplantae; Streptophyta; Magnoliopsida; Brassicales; Brassicaceae. The record is from RNAcentral. RNAcentral also lists the same sequence under 5 other names.
GAUCCUUCGAUGUCGGCUCUUCC